GGAAUUUUCCCCAAUGGGCGCAAGCCUGAGGGAGCAACGCCGCGUGCAGGACGACGGCUUUCGGGUUGUAAACUGCUUUUGCGUGGGACGAUAACGACGGUACCACGCGAAUAAGCCCCGGCUAACUCUGUGCCAGCAGCCGCGGUAAUACAGAGGGGGCAAGCGUUGUCCGGACUUACUGGGCGUAAAGCGUCCGCAGGUGGCGCUUCAAGUCUGCUGUCAAAGACCGGAGCUCAACUCUGGAAAGGCAGUGGAAACUGAAGAGCUAGAGUGCGGUAGGGGUAGAGGGAAUUCCCAGUGUAGCGGUGAAAUGCGUAGAGAUUGGGAAGAACAUCGGUGGCGAAAGCGCUCUGCUGGGCCGCAACUGACACUCAGGGACGAAAGCUAGGGGAGCGAAAGGGAUUAGAUACCCCCGUAGUCC
RNAcentral lists this ribosomal RNA (421 nucleotides) under uncultured prokaryote. RNAcentral describes it as "bacterial SSU rRNA". It matches the Rfam family "Bacterial small subunit ribosomal RNA", at positions 358 to 796 of the family's 1533-position model. The record is from RNAcentral.